CCUACGGGAGGCAGCAGUGAGGAAUAUUGGUCAAUGGACGAGAGUCUGAACCAGCCAAGUAGCGUGAAGGAUGACUGCCCUAUGGGUUGUAAACUUCUUUUAUAUGGGAAUAAAAUGUUCCACGUGUGGGCUUUUGUAUGUACCAUAUGAAUAAGGAUCGGCUAACUCCGUGCCAGCAGCCGCGGUAAUACGGAGGGUCCGAGCGUUAUCCGGAAUUAUUGGGUUUAAAGGGUGCGUAGGUGGGUUGUUAAGUCAGUUGUGAAAGUUUGCGGCUCAACCGUAAAAUUGCAGUUGAAACUGGCAGUCUUGAGUACAGUAGAGGUGGGCGGAAUUCGUGGUGUAGCGGUGAAAUGCUUAGAUAUCACGAAGAACUCCGAUUGCGAAGGCAGCUCACUGGACUGCAACUGACACUGAGGCUCGAAAGUGUGGGUAUCAAACAGGAUUAGAUACCCCGGUAGUC
RNAcentral lists this ribosomal RNA (460 nucleotides) under uncultured bacterium. RNAcentral's name for it is "partial 16S ribosomal RNA". It matches the Rfam family "Bacterial small subunit ribosomal RNA", at positions 338 to 795 of the family's 1533-position model. The record is from RNAcentral.